Small nuclear RNA from Zalophus californianus (California sea lion), 106 nucleotides. NCBI's taxonomy places the organism in Eukaryota, Metazoa, Chordata, Mammalia, Carnivora, Otariidae. The record is from Ensembl.
GUGCUCACUUCGGCAGCACAUAUAGUAAAACUGGAACAGUAUGGAGAAGAUUAGCAUGACCAUGCGCCAGGAUGACAUGCAAAUUCAUGAAGUGUUCCAUAUUUUU